ACAUUAGUCUUCAUCAUUUUAUUCACUUCCCUUUUUUUUUUUUUAAUAUCCUAAAUAAAACCUCCAAAUAUUGUACUAAUUCAUUAUAUAUAAAUGAUUAUGGUGUGUUUAGACUUCUUUCAUUAAUUACUACAUAUUUUCUACACUCACAAUGUUUGUCAGCUCGAUAUAUAAUCAACUUGAUAAUGAUAAAUCCAUCAUGCAAUGCAUUUCCUUCCAAUUUUUUGUGAUAAACUAAUAGAUAAUUGACUAAAUAAACAUCCUACAAAGUUUCAAUAAAAAUUUCCAAGUUUUUCUUACAAUUUCUGUGGUUUCCAUGUAAUUUUUAUCGAUAUCGAUAUUUUACCGAUAUUUCCAUCGAUAUUUCCGUGUUUUCGGACUACCGAUAUUUCCGAUAUUACCGAUAUUUUCUUCCUUGGUGUAGAAAUAGGACAAUAGGGUGGGUCUAUCAUCACUCUUGUUUUAUAGUAGAACUCAACUUUCUUCA
This 487-nucleotide long non-coding RNA is filed under the name Malus domestica (apple). Its description in RNAcentral is "long non-coding RNA (MDOM_LNC020498)". The record is from RNAcentral. Lineage: Eukaryota; Viridiplantae; Streptophyta; Magnoliopsida; Rosales; Rosaceae.